This 73-nucleotide transfer RNA is filed under the name Bacteriophage sp. Its description in RNAcentral is "tRNA-Phe". It matches the Rfam family "tRNA". Rfam says of the family: Transfer RNA (tRNA) molecules are approximately 80 nucleotides in length. The record is from RNAcentral.
GGGACAAUAGCUUAGAUGGUCUGAGCGCAAGUCUGAAAAACUUGAGGUCGUGGAUCGUUACCACGUUGUCCCA